GUCUGCAGCCAUACCACCCUGAACAUGCCAGAUCUGGUUUGUUCUCAGAAGCUAAGCAGGGUUGAGCCUGGUUAGUAUUUGGAUGGGAGAAAUGAUACAUGCUCGAGGUGAGAGAUA
This is a ribosomal RNA of Colobus angolensis palliatus, 117 nucleotides long. Lineage: Eukaryota; Metazoa; Chordata; Mammalia; Primates; Cercopithecidae. The record is from Ensembl.